This 253-nucleotide ribosomal RNA is filed under the name uncultured bacterium. RNAcentral describes it as "partial 16S ribosomal RNA". It matches the Rfam family "Bacterial small subunit ribosomal RNA", at positions 524 to 776 of the family's 1533-position model. The record is from RNAcentral.
UACGUAGGGCGCAAGCGUUAUCCGGAAUUAUUGGGCGUAAAGAGCUCGUAGGCGGUCUGUCGCGUCGGCUGUGAAAUCCCGAGGCUCAACCUCGGGUCUGCAGUCGAUACGGGCAAACUGGAGUGUUGCAGGGGAGACUGGAAUUCCUGGUGUAGCGGUGAAAUGCGCAGAUAUCAGGAGGAACACCGGUGGCGAAGGCGGGUCUCUGGGCAACAACUGACGCUGAGGAGCGAAAGCGUGGGGAGCGAACAGG